GACGUAGGGCGCGAGCGUUGUCCGGAUUUAUUGGGCGUAAAGAGCGUGUAGGCGGCCAGGUAGGUCUGCUGUGAAAACUCGAGGCUCAACCUCGAGACGUCGGCGGAAACCAUCUGGCUAGAGUCCGGAAGAGGAGAGUGGAAUUCCUGGUGUAGCGGUGAAAUGCGCAGAUAUCAGGAAGAACACCCGUGGCGAAGGCGGCUCUCUGGGACGGUACUGACGCUGAGGAGCGAAAGCGUGGGGAGCAAACAGG
Molecule: ribosomal RNA, 253 nt
Filed under: uncultured bacterium
Lineage: Bacteria
Description: partial 16S ribosomal RNA
Rfam family: Bacterial small subunit ribosomal RNA
Source: RNAcentral